RNAcentral lists this ribosomal RNA (286 nucleotides) under Citrobacter sp. RNAcentral describes it as "partial 16S ribosomal RNA". It matches the Rfam family "Bacterial small subunit ribosomal RNA", at positions 306 to 586 of the family's 1533-position model. The record is from RNAcentral. Lineage: Bacteria; Pseudomonadati; Pseudomonadota; Gammaproteobacteria; Enterobacterales; Enterobacteriaceae.
AGCCACACUGGAACUGAGACACGGUCCAGACUCCUACGGGAGGCAGCAGUGGGGAAUAUUGCACAAUGGGCGCAAGCCUGAUGCAGCCAUGCCGCGUGUAUGAAGAAGGCCUUCGGGUUGUAAAGUACUUUCAGCGAGGAGGAAGGUGUUGAGGUUAAUAACGAGUAUUUGACGUUACUCGCAGAAGAAGCACCGGCUAACUCCGUGCCAGCAGCCGCGGUAAUACGGAGGGUGCAAGCGUUAAUCGGAAUUACUGGGCGUAAAGCGCACGCAGGCGGUCUGUCAA